UGAUUUCAGUCUUUGCUGGGAAUAUAGUCCCUAAACUUGUCUUUGGGGAACUACUUUGACUCGUCUUUAGAGUAGUAUGUAUAGGGCUCGUGAGAUGAUUUAACAGGUAAAAGUCACCUGAGGGCCUGAGAUUGAUUCCCAGGACCCACACUGAUCUCCGUACACAUGCUGUGUAACUGGUGUGCACCCAUACACAUGUAUACACCCAUAAAAUAAUAAACAAAAUGUAGUGAACACCCCCCUCCCUACCACCUUUCAAAUUUUAUUUUUAUUUUAUGUCUAUUGGCGUUUUGCCUGCAUGUAAGUCUGAGGGUGUCAGAAAUCCUGGAACUUGGGUUACAGACAGGUGUGAGUUUCCAGGUGGGUGCUAGGAAUUGAACCUAGGUCCUCUGGAAGGCAACCAGUGCUCUUAACUGCUGAGCCAUUUCUCCAGCCCUUUAAAAUAUUUUUAAAGAGUAGUAGUAGGAUUAGUUUUGCUCCGAUGAAGCACCAUGACCAAAACUUGGGAAGGAAAGGGCCCAUCUCCACUACCAUCAUCAAGUAGGAAAAUGCCCUGAAGGCUUGCCUAGAACCUCAUCCCAUGGAGGCAUUUCUUAAUUUCUCUGUGAUAAUUUUAGCUUGUUGUGUCAAGUUGACGCAGAACCAGCUGACAUAAGGUGUAUGCUGUACAAUGAAUGAUCUUGACAGUGUUGAGAACUACACUUCAGGCCUGAUGUUGGGAGUCUUUGCUUCGAUGGAAAUACACUGGUUAAUCAUUGGAUUGCCUGUGUCUGUCUGGUGGGAAUAUCUUUUCAGUAAUUUCCAAUAUCUUUUCGGUAAUUUUAUUGAUUUAUCAGUACAAUAUGGGGAGAAGGAGAGAAACAAUUUUGUAAAAGCACACAUGAGAAACUCCCUUAGAUUAACUGAGGAUCUUGGCAAAUAGUCUCCCUAAAAGGCAUUAAUAAACUGGACAAAAAUUGCUUUAAAACAAGGAAACAAUUUGGUGGCACACGCCUUUCAUCCCAGCCCUUGAGGGGCAGAGCCAAGUGGACAUGUAUGAGUUCAAGUUCAGUCUGGUCUGCACUGAGUUCCAAGCAACCAGUGCUUCAUAGUGAGACCCUGUCUCGAAAACAAACCAAACCCACUUUUUGUGAAAUUGACCAAAGGAUACAGAUUGAGAUGUUUAUGCUCAGGCAUAGCUAUUGGUUUUUGUUAAGAUUAGUAAAUAUGUGACAUUGUAGUUGAACUGCUGAUUGUAGGCAGGAGCUGCUGCCCUUCCCCAGUCUGUGGUCCUUUAAGCUGUCCUCUGGGCAAGAUAGAAGGACUGCUAGCUCUGCUGUCAUGUUAGAAAGCAACAGAGGUUUCAUUGGCAGAUAAUCUAACAAGGUUAUUUUUGCAGGAAACAACAAGCUAACAGACCAUCUCAUGUAGAUACAGGGAAACAGCUAAAGUGGCCCAACCCAAGCCACAUGCAUGUGAUCUGGAAAGCUUAGUGCACAUGCAGGCUACACCUGCCCCAGAAAGAACACAGAAGGCUGUGGGAGCACUUAGUGCUGGUGUAAACAUGGAGUGGGCUUGGCAAAUUCUCUGAACUUGAAAACCAUUUGCCUGAGCAGUCUAUAUACAUACACACACACACACACACACACACACACACACACACACACACACCCACCCACCCCAAUCUGAAUUUAAACCAAAUAGAGGAUCAGGCACUGACUUAACAGCUAAGCUAUAUUGACCCAGAAAGCAAGCCUUAAAAAGAAAAGUGGAGGGAUUUGGAAGAUGGCUCUCAGCAGGUAAAGAGCCUGCUAUGCAGGUGUGGGCACUGGAGGUCAGAUCCCCAGAACCCAUGUAAAGUGAAUUCAGGACUAUCCCCGGCUUACAUAGUGAAUGUAGCUCAGGGAGAGAGCACUUGCCUAAUAUGUCAUGACAGUAACAGUAACAAAAACAUGUAGGAAAAUUUUUAAUUGAGAAGUCUUUACCCAUUCUUUAUUUCAUCACAUUUUGUUAUUUUUGCUCUCAGUAGUGGAGACUUAACUAGGUAGAGUUAGUGUGUGUGGUAAUGGCCCAUAGGUCUCUGGGGCUCUGUUUGUAGUCUUUUUUUCCCCCUUUUUGUUCUUCAUAAUGCAUAAUCUGUUUGUCUAUUUUAAGCAUACUAAUUUGGUGGGGGGUGUUUCGAGACAGGGUUUCUCUGUGUAGGCCUGGCUGUCCUGGAGCUCACUCUGUAGACCAGGCUGGCCUUGAACUCCAAGUGCUGGGAUUACUAAUUUUCCUUGUGCUGCAUCGUAUCUACUGUCAAGUGUGUGAGUUUACUGUAUCAGUUGUUUGGGUUUGGAAUUUCACUUUUUGUUUGUUUGGGAGUUUGUUUGUUAAAUGCCUUGUUUUUAAAUACAGUUCUAAAAUUUUUACACUUGACAAUUAAAUAGUUUAAUUAGAUUUUUUGUUUUUUGUUUUUCUGGGGUUUUUUUUUGUUUUUCGAGACAGGGUUUCUCUGUAUAACCCUGGCUGUCCUGGAGCUCACUCUGUAGACCAGGCUGAGGACGCUGAUGUAAAGCCAAGUGUCCUGUAACAGCUUGUAAGGUUUUCUUGCAAUUGGAGUUAACAUGUGAGCUAGUUUGCUUUUUCCUCUGCACAGAGCAUAGGUAGAACUGGGAAGAGUCCCAUGAUUUAAAUGAAAAGUUGUGUUGGACAGCACGAUGAGUUAAUAAUGUACCACUUGCCACAGUGUAUGCUCAGUGACUUUGAAGUAGACACUAACACUUGAGGAGGUUGCUUGCCUUUGACUUUCCUACCUUGAGUGGCAUCAUUUUGAUUUUCACAGAAUAGUAAAUGUCAGUAUUUGUGCGAAUUACAUAGUUACCACCAACUUUCUAAAGAUUUGUUCACUAGUUCUCUAUUGCUGUCUCUUUCCUGAGACAGGGUUUCUCUGUGUAACUGUCCUGGCUGUCCUGGAACUUCAUUUGUAGCUCAGGCUGACCCCAAACUCAGAGAUUUGCCUGCCUCUGCCUCCUGAGUUCUGGGAUUAAAGGUGUGUAUGUCACACUGCACAGCUUUGACUACUAAUUUCACUACAUACUUCUUAAAUUCAUUGCUGAACCACCAAGUUAAAUAAAUACAAUUAUAGAUUUAGGUUACAUAGUAAAAAUAAGUACACUGAAGCAAGAUUGGUCAGAAUAUUCUACAUGACUCUAUGACAGGAUGCUAAACAUUUAUUUCCAUGCGGACUUGGGACACCUGUGUUUUGGUUUAAUUACUUUAUUGUAUGUAUGUAUUUGUGUGUGUACACGUGUACAUGUUCAUGUAUGUUUGGAGGACAAGGGAUAACUUGUCGGGAGUUAUUUCUUUCCCGGGUCCCAGAGAUCAAAUAAAGGUAGUCAGGAUUGACUUCUGGUGAGCCAUCUCUUAGACCUGUUUUAAGAUUUCUUCUUUGUUUCGCUGUUGGGGUGUGUGUGUGUGUGUGUGUUUCUGUAUGUUUAUGUGUAGGUACCUUUGUGGGUGCAUAUGUGUGUGCAUGCAUGUGGCAGCUAGUCGAUGAUGGAGGCUUUCCUCUGUUCUCUCUUAUUUUGGGGGACACUGUCUCUAACAAAAACUGAAAUUCACCAGUUUGACUAGUGGCUAGUGAACCUCGGGGAUCUACCGCUCUUCACCUACUGAAAGGUUCCAGAUGGGCUAUUUUUUUGGUUUGGGUUUUUGGGUUUUUUUGUUGGUGGUGGUUAUUUUUGUUUGUUUUGGUUUUCUUUUUUCUUUUUUUUUUUUGGAGGGGGGGUGGUUUAAGACAGGGUUUCUCUGUGUAGCUCUGGCUGUCCUGGAACUCACUUUGUAGACCAGGCUGGCCUCGAACUCAGAAAUCCACCUGCCUCUGCCUCUGCCUCCUGAGUGCUAGGAUUAAAGAUGUGUACCACCACGCCCGGCUCCUUUAAUCCCAUUUUUAUGGAGGGGGGUGUUCUAUGUAAAGAGAUACUUUGCCUCUGUGUAUGUCUAUGUACUUUGUGUGUCUUUUUUUUUUUUUUUAAAGAUUUAUUUAUUAUAUGUAAGUACACUGUAGCUGUCUUCAGACACACUAGAAGAGGGCAUCAGAUCUCAUGGUUGUGAGCCACCAUGUGGUUGCUGGGAUUUGAACUCAGGACCUUCGGAAGAGCAGUCAGUUUUCUUACCCACUGAGCCAUCUCUCCAGCCCCCGUACUGUGUGUGUCUUAUGUUCAUGGAGACCAGAAGAGGGCAUUGCAUCCCUGGGAAUGGAGGUACAGAUGGUUGUGAGCUACCAUGUGGGUUCUGGAAUCAAACCUGGGUCUUCUGGAAGAGCAGCCAGUGCUCUUGGCCAUUGAAUCAUCUCUCUAGCCCCUGUUUUGUUGUUUUCUGACGACUCUUGAUACUGUUGAGCCUGGUACCUUCACUCCCAGCUCAUAUGACUGUCCUGCCUCAGCCUCCCACGUGAUGGAUGCAGGUACUUGCCACAAUGGUCCACUCCAACUGUGUAAUGUUGACCCGUCUGGCUGCUUUAUGCAUGUUUUCAUAUAAAUGAUAGAAAAACAAUUUAGUAUGGCACAUGGCUGAGGAAACUAAAAAUUUGCAAAUUCCUCUAAGCAUUGCCUGAGGCAGGAUAGAGUUGCUUGUCCUUAGCCAUUAGUCUCCUUUCAUGGGUGAGCAGUCAUUUAAUUAGCAGGUGGUGUCCUUAAGGGAAAUGGUAAGGAUAGUAGUUGCCCAUUGGCUUUCCCGCUUUACCAGUUUUCGGAGAGUAAGAAUUCUGUUUAUCAUACACGUGUCUCACUUGUCACCAGAAAUUGGAACUAGGAAAUCGAGAACUACCAAGUCUUCCUACCUCAUUUUUCCUGCUUCAACUAGUAAUACUUUUCAGUCAUUUCAUGGGGAGAAUUUAUGCUCAUUUCGAGAGUACACCGUGUCUCAAUAGCUUUCUUAGGGAAUCAGGUCACAGCUCCUGUGGACUCUCAUUGUAUCCUCAUAAUUCUUGUUGUACACAGUCACAGUUGAUAAAUUGAUGUGGAUUUAAUUAGGUUUAUUUGCCACUGACCCCAGCAGCUAUAUGGUAAAAAACAAUAUUGUCUCAUUCUGUAUUAAUGGCACCAAGCACAAUGGCUUGCCCAUAAUAAAGGCCGAGUAAAUAUUUGUGAAAUAAAUGAAAAAGUGAUAAAAGCCAGUAAGAUGGCAUGGUAUAAAAACACUUGUCACCAGGCCUGUCUUUGAUCCACAAGCCCCACAAAAUUGGAAGGAGAACCAACCUCUGCAGGUUGUUCUCUAACCUCUACAUCUCAGCUGCAGUAUGUGCACACAUAUAUGCACAAAUGUAUGCACACACACUAAAUGUAAUAAUUUUUGAGAAAAAACAAGUAAAUGUGCAGAACAGAUAGAUGCCUUGUUAUCCUAGCCCCAGUUGAUUAUUAACUAGAACUAGAGUGCCCUUAGGAACAGACAGCAUUCGUUUCUAGGUAGCUCAGGCCUGUAUAGGAUAUUCUGAAGUAUCGUAGAUGGAGUAAUUAGUUUUAGUUAUGUGUAUGACUUUUAUAUGUCUGUAAGUGCUUAUAAUAGUACUUACUGAAUAAAUACUGCCUUAAGCAUUUUUGCGUAUUGUCUUGUAUAGUUUUAACAGAUGUGUGAAAUAUUAUUAUACCUGUAUUUUAUAUACAUUUACUGAGGCUUAUAAAAAUUAAGUAUCUUGCCUUGGAUCCUAUCACUAGUAAGUAUAUCAUAAGAAUGUGUUUUGGAGGCUGGAGAGAUGGCUCAGCAGUUAAGAGGACUGGCUGCUUUUCUAGAGAACUGAGGUUCAAUUCUCAGCACCCAUGUAGCAACUCACAACUGAGAAUUCCUAUACCAGGGAACUGCAACAGUGUCUUUUGCCUCUGCAAGCUGCAGACACACAAGUAGCACACAGACAUACAUGUAGGCAAAGUGUCACCCCACCCCAAAAAAAUUAGGAAAGGAAAAAGAACGUGCUUUUCUAUUCCUAGGUGCUGGAGAUUGGACCCGGGGCCUUGUGUGUGCUAGGGAAACGCUUUACCACGAAGCUCCAUCUCCAGUCCCAAGAAUAGGAAUUUGGUCAUAUCUUUAGGGUUACAGGCACUGGAAAUGUUUUUCUGCCAUCUUUCCCUGCCCUCAGCAUGGUGCGCAUGAAAGUCCUGGAAGCAUCAACAAUGCUGAGAAAAGAGGCAGGCACCAGGUCUUCAGACCAUGCUCUUAAGUCAAGAGUCAGUUGCUAACUGUGAUGAUGAAGUGUGGUUACAUUGCAGAAUCUGAUGUCAUUGAUGAUAGCCAAGCUGGGGAAAUCAUGGUGAACUUCACAGGCUGGUUGAACAAGUGUAAAGUGAUCAGCCCUAGAUUUAAUGUGCAACUCAAAGACCCAGAAAAUAGCGGAACAAUCUGCUCUCACCUGUCACUGGCUCCAGUGUACUGACAACUUCAGCUGGAGUCAUGGACCAUGAAGAACAAGAGGAAGACACACAGAAGGGAAAAUCUUGUUGUUCUUUUUCUAGAGAUGUAAAAACUCUGGAUGUAAAUAAAAGGCCUCUACAGAGUGUGAAAACAUAAGCGUUAGUCUUGUUAACUUAAUUGAUUGCACAUAGUAAGAUAGCUAGCAUAGUCAGACCUGGUAUAACAUUUAUUACAGUAUCAGAGGCCUGGGUUUUUUCAUCUUCCUGCUGCCUCUAGCCUGCGGCUCUGUCCUAUUUGCUAGAUGGCUGCUAACUCUCUGAACACUAUAUCAGUUCCCAGGAAAGAAUAGUGAAAUCUCUCUUACAUAGCCUUCUUGAAAACCUCAUUAGGUGUCUUUUUUUUUUUUUUAAGAUUUAUUUAUUUUUAUGUGUGUGAGUACACUGUAACUAUACAGGUGGUUAUGA
Mus musculus (house mouse) is the source of this 6830-nucleotide long non-coding RNA. RefSeq annotates it as expressed sequence AI225912. NCBI's taxonomy places the organism in Eukaryota, Metazoa, Chordata, Mammalia, Rodentia, Muridae. The transcript has a single exon. The record is from RefSeq and is a predicted model, not a curated record.